CCCGCAAGCGCUCGAGGAGUCGCAGCCGGUCCCGGGGACGGGGGUCGGAAAAGAGAAAGAAGAAGAGCAGGAAAGACACCUCGAGGAACUGCUCGGCCUCCACAUCCCAAGGUCGCAAGGCCAGCACGGCCCCUGGGGCGGAGGGAGAAGCAAGCAGAAGGCCCGGAGGAGAACAAGAUCCAGCUCCUCCUCCUCUUCUUCCAGUUCUUCUAGCUCCUCUUCUUCCUCCUCGUCCUCCUCCUCUUCCUCCAGUGAUGGCCGGAAGAAGCG
Molecule: long non-coding RNA, 270 nt
Filed under: Homo sapiens (human)
Lineage: Eukaryota; Metazoa; Chordata; Mammalia; Primates; Hominidae
Description: HSALNT0196292
Source: RNAcentral